Molecule: long non-coding RNA, 630 nt
Organism: Cornus florida
Lineage: Eukaryota; Viridiplantae; Streptophyta; Magnoliopsida; Cornales; Cornaceae
Exons: 2
Source: RefSeq, a predicted model, not a curated record
GUGAGUUGAUCUCAGAGGUCGUGAUGCAAAGUGUUAUGAUGCUACCAAGAUACGAUGCCAAGUUAGUCAAAGUUCACAGUGAUUGCAAUGAAUUUGAAGUAGCCGAUGCGAUGAAUUAACAGUAUAUUUGAAAGAGAAUUAGUAGAAGAAAAAGAGAGUGAAUUUGAAAUUAAAGAGACCCCAUUGUUGGCUUUGCUUGAAGAAUUUCAUAAAACUUGGAAGAUCAAGCCCACUUUGGUAAACCUGAACCUUUGAAUAGAGAGGUUGUUGGUGCUCCUUUUGUGAAGAUCAAAGGCAACAUUGAUUUACACUCAAAUCAUGAUUGAAAGACUAGAUAAUAUCAUUAGUUGCUGGAACAUUCUUUGAGAAAUUCUGUAGCUUCUGAGCAAAAGAUCAAAAAGAAGGAACAACAUACAUAAUCAAAUGUGGGCAUCAUUCAGAAAUUCUGUCGCUUCUCCAGUUUUUUGCUUUGAUUAACUAUUUGUGUAAUUCUCUAAUAUUUUAUUUUGGUUUUGUAUCACUAAAAUUAAUGUUUGUACAACUAGAAGUGCAUAUGACACUUGAAGUAAUUCAUAUAACUCUUUUAUUGUAUUUAAAUUUAGUCAAAUUUUAAUUAAACUUAAUAUAUUA